UCAUAUUUACAUUUUUCGACAAUCACUUAUACUUGUCACUGAACUACUUAUCAUUGUAUAUGUCAGUAUCACUUAUACUUGUCACUGAACUACUUAUCAUUGUAUAUGUCAGUAUCACUUUUACUUUGUUUUGUUCACUUAUCACUUUUCAGUUGCACUUUCAUUCUCAGUUGCAUUUUUAUUAAAGUUUAUAAUUUCUAUUUUUUCAUCUUUUAAGAGUUUCAUCGUGUGAUACUG
Molecule: long non-coding RNA, 237 nt
Filed under: Carica papaya (papaya)
Lineage: Eukaryota; Viridiplantae; Streptophyta; Magnoliopsida; Brassicales; Caricaceae
Description: long non-coding RNA (CPAP_LNC010350)
Source: RNAcentral